GACGAACGCUGGCGGCGUGCUUAACACAUGCAAGUCGAACGGAAAGGCCCUGCUUUUGUGGGGUGCUCGAGUGGCGAACGUGUGAGUAACACGUGAGUAACCUGCCCUUGACUUUGGGAUAACUUCAGGAAACUGGGGCUAAUACCGGAUAGGAGCUCCUGCUGCAUGGUGGGGGUUGGAAAGUUUCGGCGGUUGGGGAUGGACUCGCGGCUUAUCAGCUUGUUGGUGGGGUAGUGGCUUACCAAGGCUUUGACGGGUAGCCGGCCUGAGAGGGUGACCGGACACAUUGGGACUGAGAUACGGCCCAGACUACUACGGGAGGCAGCAGUGGGGAAUAUUGCACAAUGGGCGGAAGCCUGAUGCAGCAACGCCGCGUGCGGGAUGACGGCCUUCGGGUUGUAAACCGCUUUCGCCUGUGAAGAAGAGUGAGUGACGGUAAUGGGUAAAGAAGCACCGGCUAACUACGUG
Molecule: ribosomal RNA, 468 nt
Filed under: uncultured bacterium
Lineage: Bacteria
Description: partial 16S ribosomal RNA
Rfam family: Bacterial small subunit ribosomal RNA
Source: RNAcentral